UAUGGUGUUACAGUUUUCUUUAUUAUUAAAUCUUUGUUUGACAUACACAUGAGCCGCUUAUGUUACUGAAAGCAAAGAAACUCUGCUGAAGAAGGGUGGAAUAUCCUCAAGUUGGCAAAGAAAAAUUAAAUAAGAAGAGUGAGUAACUUGCCUGUCAAACUUUUAAGGUGUUGGCCUUGGGGUUAUUCCAGAAGGAGCCAGAGGCAAGCCUCCAGGAGAUACUGUGAAAGUAGGCCAGCUGCAAAAAAUCAUGGACAAAUGAGGGUGGUAUGUAUGUAUCCACAACAUUAAGCUCUUGUUUUGGACUUUGUGGAAGGGCUUAAAAACAAGCCACAACUGCUACUGAAUGCUGUUUCAGAAAUAAUAAAAUUUGUAUGCAUAUUACAAUGAA
Molecule: long non-coding RNA, 391 nt
Organism: Lacerta agilis (Sand lizard)
Lineage: Eukaryota; Metazoa; Chordata; Lepidosauria; Squamata; Lacertidae
Exons: 3
Source: RefSeq, a predicted model, not a curated record